Molecule: ribosomal RNA, 407 nt
Filed under: uncultured bacterium
Lineage: Bacteria
Description: bacterial SSU rRNA
Rfam family: Bacterial small subunit ribosomal RNA
Source: RNAcentral
UAAGGAAUAUUGCGCAAUGGGCGAAAGCCUGACCCAGCAACGCCGCGUGAAGGAUGAAGUAUUUCGGUAUGUAAACUUCGAAAGAAUAGGAAGAAUAAAUGACGGUACUAUUUAUAAGGUCCGGCUAACUACGUGCCAGCAGCCGCGGUAAUACGUAGGGACCAAGCGUUGUUCGGAUUUACUGGGCGUAAAGGGCGCGUAGGCGGCAAUUCAAGUCAUCUGUGAAAUCUCCGGGCUUAACUCGGAACGGUCAGAUGAUACUGCUUUGCUAGAGUGCAGAAGGGGCAAUCGGAAUUCUUGGUGUAGCGGUGAAAUGCGUAGAUAUCAAGAGGAACACCUGAGGUGAAGACGGGUUGCUGGGCUGACACUGACGCUGAGGCGCGAAAGCCAGGGGAGCAAACGGGAUU